Molecule: ribosomal RNA, 253 nt
Filed under: uncultured bacterium
Lineage: Bacteria
Description: partial 16S ribosomal RNA
Rfam family: Bacterial small subunit ribosomal RNA
Source: RNAcentral
GACGAACCGUGCGAACGUUGUUCGGAUUCACUGGGCUUAAAGGGCGCGUAGGCGGGUCUUCAAGUCGGGGGUGAAAUCCUCUCGCUUAACGAGAGAAUUGCUUUCGAUACUGGGGAUCUGGAGGGGGAUAGGGGUGCGCGGAACUUCCGGUGGAGCGGUGAAAUGCGUAGAUAUCGGAAGGAACGCCGGUGGCGAAAGCGGCGCACUGGAUCCCUACUGACGCUGAGGCGCGAAAGCCAGGGGAGCAAACGGG